This is a non-coding RNA of Podarcis lilfordi (Lilford's wall lizard), 1702 nucleotides long. The record is from the annotation of a GenBank genome assembly. Lineage: Eukaryota; Metazoa; Chordata; Lepidosauria; Squamata; Lacertidae.
CCGGGAAGGGGGGAACCUCUUGGUGAUGAGCGGAGGGGCGGGGUAGGAGGCUGGGUUCUUGGGGUUGCGGAGGACGGCGAGGGGCUUCGCAGCCGAGGUUGUGGGAAGCUGGCUGCUCCUUUAAACGGAAGCAUGUGACUGGUUCUCCUGUCGGGCUAUAAAUAACCGUGGCACGGCCCAUAAGGCACAUUUGCAGUUUUAUUUGCAGUGCAAUGUGGGUAGGCUUUUGAGGCAGAGCUCAGUUUUAGGGGGUGAAAAGUCUCGCAGCGUCGCCGGCAGGGAGCAAAGCGCAACAUAGGCGCCUGACUGGACGCAAAACGCUUUCUGUCGUGUGGUGGCGGCGGCGGCACAUAGGACAUACAGUAUAUGUAAUGGGGCCACAUGAUUUUUAUGUAUCAAGAAAAAAGAUUCAUAGCCCACCAAUCCCAGCACUGGGUACAACAUAGAGAAAAUCCUAACAACAAAAAAAAUCAGUGACAUACAAAAAGAGACAGUGGAAACAACAGAAAGGGGCUACAAGGAUGUUGCCCACUAAAACGAUAGGGCUGGGGAAUGUUUGUGGAAUUGCUGAUGGAUCUGGUGUGUGCUCAGCUGGGAGGGACAACACAUCCAAUGUGAAAAUGCACUACAAAAAUGGCAAACAAGCCCUCAACACCCCUGAAAACAGCCAGUGCCCACUAAGUUGCGACUGCGAUGCCAGGUAUGCCCACAUGCUGCCCACCCAUGGAGGGAGCCAAUGAACUCUCAGCAAGAUAGGUGUAUCUGCAGCACACACCAUUGCAUCACCAUACGUACAACACCCAUGGCGAUGCCACUCUGCCCCCACUCUUAUCAGUUCCAAGCGGCACAGCCAAAACUGACCCCUACUGCCAGUUCUGAAGCAUCCCUCCAGGCAGGGAUCUGAAUCCUUUUAUGCUCCUCACAACCACUGUUUUGGAGCAUAACCCACCAAGGACAGGACACAACACAGCACACACUUAGCUCCCCAGGCAGGGCACACCUAAAGUACAGUGGUACCUCGGGUUACGUACUUAAUUCGUUCCGGAGGUCCAUUCUUAACAUGAAACUGUUCUUAACCUGAAGCACCACUUUAGCUAAUGGAGCCUCCCGCUGCCGCUGCGCCACCGGAGCACAAUUUCUCGUCUCAUCCUGAAGCAAAGUUCUUAACCCGAAGUACUAUUUCUGGGUUAGUGGAGUCUGUAACCUGAAGCAUCUGUAACCUCAAGCGUGUGUAACCCGAGGUACCACUGUAUGCACAUAGCACUUAUAGGUUAAAGUUAUAAGGCCCACCCAAAGAGGAAGAGGCACUCUUGUUAAACAGCCAAGUCAAGGAGAGGGUCAAGAAUGCUGUUCCAUCUAACCUGUGAGGAGAAUGAGGGAAACAUGCUUCUUUAAUUAAUUUAUUGGUAAUUGCUCACACUUCCUCAACUCUGCCUAGAUUUGGAUGAGGAAGAAUCCCAGAAUCUGCAGUUUAUGUACUUGAGAGGGAGAAUUAUUUUAACAAGAGCUAUUUACUGUUCAUUGCACACUUGAGAUAAAUAAAUAUUUUAUUAUGGCAGCACUGUUCUUCAGAACUCCCUGCCUAUAGGCAAACUUCUUUGUUGUACUGUGUGCAAUGUCUGCUAAAAAUGUUAUUUUUUGUAUAUAUUUGUUUUUAAGAAGGUUGAUUUUUAUCUAUAUUAUGAUAAAUAUGUUAUAAUUA